CAGGCGACACUGAAACAUCAAAGUUUUAAAACUUUUUUAUUCUCACAUUUUAAUCUCAUAUUGGUACAAUUUUAAAAAGUCGGUCUAGUCGGCACCACUGCCGACCACUGGAAGAAGAACACAAAAAAAACAACAACUCCUUGUUCAAAAAGUUCAGCGAUUGCGAGUCCAGCCGAUGCGGGAAACAAUUUUAAUCUGUGUGGCCGGACAAUAGUGUUAUAGCGGCCGAAACGUCGGAGGCAUAAUGGAUUUCUUCGUAAAAAAGUCAGCCUCCAGCAGACAGUGCAAUCGAGACUGUUUUGGGAAAACUUCUCGAACUACUAGAAAAUUCUCUUCCCUGCACAUUCAUCACUCGGGCAAUGGUGGUUUCCCUGCAUCCAGUAGGGCUGAACAUGCAAUACCAACCUUCCGCUCUACCGACUGGGGAUGAUUGUCCACCAGAAUUAAUAGACUUCAGGACAUCGUCCACUUUAUUUUUUCAUCAUAAUGUAAGUAAUAAAACUAAAUAAAGUGAAAAAUUUGAA
Long non-coding RNA from Uranotaenia lowii, 524 nucleotides. RefSeq lists it as uncharacterized. The record is from RefSeq and is a predicted model, not a curated record. The transcript is spliced from 2 exons. Lineage: Eukaryota; Metazoa; Arthropoda; Insecta; Diptera; Culicidae.